Molecule: ribosomal RNA, 328 nt
Filed under: uncultured Ruegeria sp.
Lineage: Bacteria; Pseudomonadati; Pseudomonadota; Alphaproteobacteria; Rhodobacterales; Roseobacteraceae
Description: bacterial SSU rRNA
Rfam family: Bacterial small subunit ribosomal RNA
Source: RNAcentral
CUUACGGGUUGGGCUACACACGUGCUACAAUGGCAGUGACAAUGGGUUAAUCCCAAAAAAACUGUCUCAGUUCGGAUUGGGGUCUGCAACUCGACCCCAUGAAGUCGGAAUCGCUAGUAAUCGCGUAACAGCAUGACGCGGUGAAUACGUUCCCGGGCCUUGUACACACCGCCCGUCACACCAUGGGGAUUGGUUCUACCCGACGACGCUGCGCUAACCUUCGGGGGGCAGGCGGCCACGGUAGGAUCAGCGACUGGGGGUGAAGUCGUAACAGGUAGCCGUAGGGGAACCUGCGGCUGGAUCACCUCCUUUCAAGGAUGAUGCUAGC